GACGAACGCUGGCGGCGUGCUUAACACAUGCAAGUCGAACGGAAAGGCCCUGCUUUUGUGGGGUGCUCGAGUGGCGAACGGGUGAGUAACACGUGAGUAACCUGCCCUUGACUUUGGGAUAACUUCAGGAAACUGGGGCUAAUACCGGAUAGGAGCUCCUGCUGCAUGGUGGGGGUUGGAAAGUUUCGGCGGUUGGGGAUGGACUCGCGGCUUAUCAGCUUGUUGGUGGGGUAGUGGCUUACCAAGGCUUUGGCGGGUAGCCGGCCUGAGAGGGUGACCGGCCACCUUGGGACUGCGAUACGGCCCAGACUCCUACGGUAGGCAGCAGUGGGGAAUAUUGCACAAUGGGCGGAAGCCUGAUGCAGCAACGCCGCGUGCGGGAUGACGGCCUUCGGGUUGUAAACCGCUUUCGCCUGUGACGAAGCGUGAGUGACGGUAAUGGGUAAAGAAGCACCGGCUAACUACGUG
This 468-nucleotide ribosomal RNA is filed under the name uncultured bacterium. Its description in RNAcentral is "partial 16S ribosomal RNA". It matches the Rfam family "Bacterial small subunit ribosomal RNA", at positions 28 to 507 of the family's 1533-position model. The record is from RNAcentral.